GGUGCAUGCGGUUGCUUGCAUUAAACGUAUAAACUGUUAAAUUAGAUGGCGACUCUGCAUUAAACGUAUUUAUUUAAUUAAUCGGCGAUCAUAUUUCACCAGAGGACUAAGAUAAAACAACUCGAUUUAAAAUGUGAGCAGUUUUAGUGGAUCUGACGUUGAGGGAAAAAGUAUUUCGCUUUUUGUUUGGAGAUGAACGAGACAACACGAGGCACAGCGACAUAAAUAUGACCAACCAGAUCCCAAGUAGACAGGAACAAAUGAAGAUAUAGCGCAUAGAAAGACAUAUUCUUGGUGAUCAACUGCUAUUGACAUUUUUGAAUCGGGGCAAAUGUGGAGUGAAGAAAAACGUUUGCAACACAUCCAUUCCAGAGUGCUCUGACAGAUAAAACUGACACGCUUGAUGAGGACACAGUCAAGCUUUAAAAGCCCGUGUGAUAAAGCAGUCUUCAAUUACUACGGUAUCUGAAUUGCAAGAAGUCACCCGCCACUUAAACAUGUGACAUCUAAACUGUUUUGUGUUUUAGUUCAGCUUUUUAUAGGUUUAUCUUAAGUUGGUUAAAGGCAGAGUGCACUAUUUUUGAAAGCCAAUGUUAACAUUUGAAAUUACCUAAACAAACAUGCCUCUACCCCAAUAGAAUCUGGACCUUCUUUUGAUAGAGCCACCACACACAUACGCAACCCCGGCAAGGAUGUCAGUUAGUAGACACACUCCUUACUGCUGGUUGGCUACAAGUUUGUUUUGGUAGUCGGCCCAAUUUCCUUUUCCAAAGCGUUUUUCAAACAUUGUGCACUCCGUCUUUAAAUUGCACUUAAACAUUUUUUUUCAUUAACUUUUUAUGCAGAGAAUUACAUUAUGAUUAUUAUAUAAUCAUUGCUUAUGAAUAUUUAGUGAUUGCAUAUUCAUAGUGUACUUUUCAUUAAUACAUUUAAUGUUAAUGUUGUACAAUUUGAUAGAAGUAGCUCUGUAAUUGCAUUUCUCUGAUAUUUGUUUUAUAU
Long non-coding RNA from Paramisgurnus dabryanus, 999 nucleotides. RefSeq lists it as uncharacterized. NCBI's taxonomy places the organism in Eukaryota, Metazoa, Chordata, Actinopteri, Cypriniformes, Cobitidae. The record is from RefSeq and is a predicted model, not a curated record.